Molecule: transfer RNA, 50 nt
Filed under: Ignatovia microphylla
Lineage: Eukaryota; Viridiplantae; Streptophyta; Bryopsida; Hypnales; Leskeaceae
Description: partial tRNA-Phe
Source: RNAcentral
AAAAAGGCCGGAAUAGCUCAGUCGAGUCGGCGGAGCACGUGAUAAUGUUU